This 680-nucleotide ribosomal RNA is filed under the name Klebsiella sp. C37A. Its description in RNAcentral is "bacterial SSU rRNA". It matches the Rfam family "Bacterial small subunit ribosomal RNA", at positions 46 to 719 of the family's 1533-position model. Lineage: Bacteria; Pseudomonadati; Pseudomonadota; Gammaproteobacteria; Enterobacterales; Enterobacteriaceae. The record is from RNAcentral.
GCGCGCUACCUGCAGUCGACGGUAGCACAGAGAGCUUGCUCUCGGGUGACGAGUGGCGGACGGGUGAGUAAUGUCUGGGAAACUGCCUGAUGGAGGGGGAUAACUACUGGAAACGGUAGCUAAUACCGCAUAACGUCGCAAGACCAAAGAGGGGGACCUUCGGGCCUCUUGCCAUCAGAUGUGCCCAGAUGGGAUUAGCUAGUAGGUGGGGUAACGGCUCACCUAGGCGACGAUCCCUAGCUGGUCUGAGAGGAUGACCAGCCACACUGGAACUGAGACACGGUCCAGACUCCUACGGGAGGCAGCAGUGGGGAAUAUUGCACAAUGGGCGCAAGCCUGAUGCAGCCAUGCCGCGUGUAUGAAGAAGGCCUUCGGGUUGUAAAGUACUUUCAGCGGGGAGGAAGGCGAUAAGGUUAAUAACCUUGUCGAUUGACGUUACCCGCAGAAGAAGCACCGGCUAACUCCGUGCCAGCAGCCGCGGUAAUACGGAGGGUGCAAGCGUUAAUCGGAAUUACUGGGCGUAAAGCGCACGCAGGCGGUCUGUCAAGUCGGAUGUGAAAUCCCCGGGCUCAACCUGGGAACUGCAUUCGAAACUGGCAGGCUGGAGUCUUGUAGAGGGGGGUAGAAUUCCAGGUGUAGCGGUGAAAUGCGUAGAGAUCUGGAGGAAUACCGGUGGCGAA